CCUACAGUAUGAUAUUUAGAGCACUUACAAGUGUGCUCUCGGCCGGCAAUAGAAUGAAUGUUCAUGAUGUCACUGCGACAACUACAGACAUGUCAAUUCACUUAAGCACAGCAGCAGACAGCCUCCCCAGAGCGCAGCAGACUGAAGUCCAGGCCAGCUGGGAGGCAGAGAUGACGUCACUGGGAAUGAACUUGGCUUCCAAGUGCAGGUGCAGCCAGAUGAUCAUGGAACUAAAGCACCGAGGGCAGAUUAUAGACUGAAGCAAAUUGGCAUACAACAUCACAAUGGUUUCAACAAAGGUGUGUAACAUACCAACUUCAGCCCCAUAAAUAUUUGAGAGGCUAGUCAUUUAAAACUUUUUGAAGACAUCACCUGAAGAAGACAUCCUAUCCCCAAUUGAAA
This is a long non-coding RNA of Coregonus clupeaformis (lake whitefish), 402 nucleotides long. RefSeq lists it as uncharacterized. Lineage: Eukaryota; Metazoa; Chordata; Actinopteri; Salmoniformes; Salmonidae. The record is from RefSeq and is a predicted model, not a curated record. The transcript is spliced from 3 exons.